AACAAAAGCAAGGAAAGAUGACAGUUCUACUGACCCAAGGAAAGGACUGUUUGAAGAUGAAGAAGUUGUAUGUCAGUACACGGGUGGGGAGGAUCCUGUAGACAGGAAAAACCGAAGUUGUAGCAGAGCGAUAGGGAAAGUUUCUGGAGUCAUGUUCUUCAGAAGGCACUCCCAGUCUCUUGGUACUGUCCUACCUUGGUCUGCGUCCUCCCCUCGCCCCUAAAGAACAAGAAACAGGGAAUACCAAAGGACUCCAGAGAGAUCAGCAAUCAACAACAGAUCUAUCUCCAUGAGCGUGCUCUCUUUCCUGUGUCAAAUGUGUCAUCUCAUAGAGGCUGCAGGUGGCAGUGGGGGCCAUGGGAGCUGGAGGAAUUGUGCUGUCUUUUGCGUGGCUGGAAAAGUAUUUUUCUACAAUGUGGGGGUACCUGUGUACACUUCUGUCCUUAAGACUCAGCUCAAACUCCAACACAACCAGGAAAACCUUUCAACAUCUUGUUACACACAGCCACCUUUAAUUUUUUUCUUUUUUUUUUUUAAACUUUUAUUAUCAUUCAAAUGAUUUGGGCAAUUUCAUCAUAUACUACAUCCUUUCCAAGGCAUGUAACCUGAUCAUGAAAUAGAAAAUUAAUGCUUCAAUAACAAUAAUUUAUACAGAAAAUUUUCCUGAAAAUAACAUGUAGACUAUUUUCCUUGGCCUUUGUAUUCAAACAAAGAUGAAAGAACUAAGCUGUUAAAAAGCUAAGCUGGGCUGGGCGCAGUGGCUCACGUCUGUAAUCCUAGCACUUUGGGAGGCCAAGGCGGGC
RNAcentral lists this long non-coding RNA (803 nucleotides) under Homo sapiens (human). RNAcentral describes it as "HSALNT0295711". Lineage: Eukaryota; Metazoa; Chordata; Mammalia; Primates; Hominidae. The record is from RNAcentral.